UGACCCCUCCCAUCGCUGUCAUCCUCCACCACCAAGCUCCACAACAGCAUCACGCCUCCUUCUUCUUUCCCCUCCCUUAAAUCCAUCUGAGGUCCCCAAGCAAACCCUAGCCUCCUCUAUAUUCCCCUCCUCGCGCCGCCGCUGAACUUUCACCUCUCCCAGGAAACAAACUCAGUUGAAAUUUCAGUAAACAUCGCCGGAGGAAUCGCCACAGCGUCGCCAGUUUCCGUCGCCGUUCGCCGAGCUGAGUACCAGGAUGGAGUCCCCGUGGCCUCCUUUUCCUCCUCGUUGAGUCCUCGGAGCAGGAGCAGCUCCGGGACGCCGUUUUCGUCUUCGUCUUCUCCGGUGCCGUACGUGCGCACCAUCGACGUCCGCUUCACCACGCCGUCGGUUCAGACCACUUUGUGCUCUCCCGCUUCGCCGUCGACCUCCUGGUGGUCACCGCCGCGCUCAUCUAUUUUCCCCGGCGUCAUCUCAAGUCCCUGAGCCGUUCUUCUUCACCAUCGAGCCCCUGGCAUUUGCUUCUUUCCGGAUAGGAUCACGAAGUGGUGAUGUGAGAUAGACGAGUUCUCUGACAAAUUCUUCUGCAACUUUUCACAGG
Molecule: long non-coding RNA, 601 nt
Organism: Lolium rigidum
Lineage: Eukaryota; Viridiplantae; Streptophyta; Magnoliopsida; Poales; Poaceae
Exons: 3
Source: RefSeq, a predicted model, not a curated record